Non-coding RNA from Sus scrofa (pig), 255 nucleotides. Lineage: Eukaryota; Metazoa; Chordata; Mammalia; Artiodactyla; Suidae. The record is from RefSeq and is a predicted model, not a curated record.
CAGCAGAACUCCCUGUCCAAGCAGGCUCAUAGCAGCUACGCAGACAACAGAGAAGGAAGCUGCUUGCUGUAGCUGGCACCUUAAGGACGACAGACAGCCGACAGGGCAACUCACCCUGAAGCUGCUGACCUAGCCCGCAACACUGGAAGAAGAAACGCGCAGCCAUGAAAGAGAAGCAGAAGAGAAAAGGAAACAAUGAAGGAGGAGUCCCUGAGAUGGAAAAUAAUGGGACACCCCCACAAUAAAAAUCUCUUU